Molecule: ribosomal RNA, 725 nt
Filed under: uncultured bacterium
Lineage: Bacteria
Description: bacterial SSU rRNA
Rfam family: Bacterial small subunit ribosomal RNA
Source: RNAcentral
GAGUUUGAUCCUGGCUCAGGACGAACGCUGGCGGCGUGCCUAAUACAUGCAAGUCGAGCGAGCUUGCCUAGAUGAUUUUAGUGCUUGCACUAAAUGAAACUAGAUACAAGCGAGCGGCGGACGGGUGAGUAACACGUGGGUAACCUGCCCAAGAGACUGGGAUAACACCUGGAAACAGAUGCUUAUACCGGAUAACAACACUAGACGCAUGUCUAGAGUUUGAAAGAUGGUUCUGCUAUCACUCUUGGAUGGACCUGCGGUGCAUUAGCUAGUUGGUAAGGUAACGGCUUACCAAGGCGACGAUGCAAAGCCGAGUUGAGAGACUGAUCGGCCACAUUGGGACUGAGACACGGCCCAAACUCCUACGGGAGGCAGCAGUAGGGAAUCUUCCACAAUGGACGAAAGUCUGAUGGAGCAACGCCGCGUGAGUGAAGAAGGGUUUCGGCUCGUAAAGCUCUGUUGGUAGUGAAGAAAGAUAGAGGUAGUAACUGGCCUUUAUUUGACGGUAAUUACUUAGAAAGUCACGGCUAACUACGUGCCAGCAGCCGCGGUAAUACGUAGGUGGCAAGCGUUGUCCGGAUUUAUUGGGCGUAAAGCGAGUGCAGGCGGAAAAAUAAGUCUAAUGUGAAAGCCCUCGGCUUAACCGAGGAACUGCAUCGGAAACUGUUUUUCUUGAGUGCAGAAGAGGAGAGUGGAACUCCAUGCGUAGCGGUGAAAUGCGUAGA